RNAcentral lists this ribosomal RNA (253 nucleotides) under uncultured bacterium. RNAcentral's name for it is "partial 16S ribosomal RNA". It matches the Rfam family "Bacterial small subunit ribosomal RNA", at positions 524 to 776 of the family's 1533-position model. The record is from RNAcentral.
UACAGAGGUCUCAAGCGUUGUUCGGAUUCAUUGGGCGUAAAGGGUGCGUAGGCGGCGCGGUAAGUCGGGUGUGAAAUCUCGGGGCUUAACUCCGAAACUGCAUUUGAUACUGGCGUGCUUGAGGACUGGAGAGGAGACUGGAAUUCACGGUGUAGCAGUGAAAUGCGUAGAUAUCGUGAGGAAGACCAGUGGCGAAGGCGGGUCUCUGGACAGUUCCUGACGCUGAGGCACGAAGGUCAGGGGAGCAAACGGG